Chiloscyllium plagiosum (whitespotted bambooshark) is the source of this 467-nucleotide non-coding RNA. The record is from RefSeq and is a predicted model, not a curated record. Lineage: Eukaryota; Metazoa; Chordata; Chondrichthyes; Orectolobiformes; Hemiscylliidae.
AGAAACAGAUACAGCAAGUAAUGCAAUGGCACUUAACCACUGAAGCAUCAGAGCUCUGGGGAUGGAUUUUGACCUGACCCCUCAAAUGAGGUUUGGAUUUGUUGCAAGGAUACAGGAAUGUCUGGGGGAAGAUAAUGAGAUGACAAUGUAAACAUCCCAAUACUUGUAUUUUAAUUAAAAGCUUGAAAAUGUGUUCAUCUCUAAAGUUCGGGGUAAAAGUUGUAUUAAAUAUCAUAAGUGCUUGAUCCCAGUUUUCACCAUUUUAAAGCCUUUUAAAACUACCUUUAAUUCAUUGCUGCUGGUUUAUUAUCCUGUUUUAGUUCCAGAAGGAUCAUUAGGCUUAUUUUAUUCACUUCUUUUAUCUUCUAAUAUUCAUUCCACUUUCUGUAUCUCCUUCUCCCUUCUUGCUCCUGGAGGCUAGGAUGCUUAGCCAGUAACAAUGUUCCACAAUUACUGUUAAAGCAAUU